RNAcentral lists this ribosomal RNA (490 nucleotides) under uncultured bacterium. RNAcentral's name for it is "partial 16S ribosomal RNA". It matches the Rfam family "Bacterial small subunit ribosomal RNA", at positions 30 to 507 of the family's 1533-position model. The record is from RNAcentral.
AUUGAACGCUGGCGGCAGGCCUAACACAUGCAAGUCGAACGGUAACAGGAAGAAGCUUGCUUCUUUGCUGACGAGUGGCGGACGGGUGAGUAAUGUCUGGGAAACUGCCUGAUGGAGGGGGAUAACUACUGGAAACGGUAGCUAAUACCGCAUAAUGUCGCAAGACCAAAGAGGGGGACCUUCUGGCCUCUGGCCAUCGGAUGUGCCCAGAUGGGAUUAGCUAGUAGGUGGGGUAACGGCUCACCUAGGCGACGAUCCCUAGAUGGUCUGAGAGGAUGACCGGCCACACUGGAACUGAGACACGGACCAGGCUCCUACGGGAGGGAGCAGUGGGGAAUAUUGGACAAUGGGCGCGAGCAUGAUGCAGCUAUGCCGAGUGUAUGAAGAAGGCCUUCGGGUUGUAAAGUACUUUCAGCGGGGAGGAAGGGAGUAAAGUUAAUACCUUUGCUCAUUGACGUUACCCGCAGAAGAAGCACCGGCUAACUCCGUG